This 71-nucleotide transfer RNA is filed under the name Bos taurus (domestic cattle). It matches the Rfam family "tRNA". From Rfam's summary of the family: Transfer RNA (tRNA) molecules are approximately 80 nucleotides in length. Lineage: Eukaryota; Metazoa; Chordata; Mammalia; Artiodactyla; Bovidae. RNAcentral also lists the same sequence under 5 other names. The record is from Rfam by way of RNAcentral.
UCCCUGGUGGCUCAGUGGUAAAGAAUCUGCCUGCGGUGCAGGAGACCCAGGUUCGAUCCCUGGGUUGGGAA